This 263-nucleotide ribosomal RNA is filed under the name uncultured bacterium. Its description in RNAcentral is "partial 16S ribosomal RNA". It matches the Rfam family "Bacterial small subunit ribosomal RNA", at positions 793 to 1055 of the family's 1533-position model. The record is from RNAcentral.
GUCCACGCUGUAAACGAUGUCUACUAGCCGUUGGGAGACUUGAUUUCUUAGUGGCGCAGCUAACGCUUUAAGUAGACCGCCUGGGGAGUACGGCCGCAAGGUUAAAACUCAAAUGAAUUGACGGGGGCCCGCACAAGCGGUGGAGCAUGUGGUUUAAUUCGAUGCAACGCGAAGAACCUUACCAGGUCUUGACAUCCAGAGAACUUUCCAGAGAUGGAUUGGUGCCUUCGGGAGCUCUGAGACAGGUGCUGCAUGGCUGUCGU